UUGAACCCAGGGACACUUUGUCUCUAAGUUUCAUCCCAAUCCCUUUUUAAUUUUUUGAGACAGGGUCUUGCUAAAUUGCCGAGACUGUCCUUGAAUCUGCGAACCUCCUGCCUCAGCCUCCCAAGCCGCUGGGAUUACAGAUUAUCACAAUUAAACAUCAGAAGAUUUUUCCCAAAUAAAUACUGAUGUAAUGUUGAUUUCAAGGACACACAACUUUCAUAAGAGUCUACUUCUCAGGCACUUCGCCAUUCAUUGAGAUGGAAGCAGCACGGCUCUGGUGCGAGUCGCUGAACUCCUGUGGAGAAUUCCCUCUGGGAGAGUUGGCGGGCACCAGGAGCUGACUGGUGGAUGUAAGCACAGCAGCAUUUAGUGGCUUUGGAGAAUGAGACGGGGGUCUGUGCCGGUUGCUCUCCUCACCAGAAGUGGACAAGUAUCUUUUUCUUCCAAAUUCCUCACCAAUAGGGGGCUGCAGAUCAUGAAAGACAACAGAGUUGACAGUUUGACUGUUUUUCUUCCUUCAAAAUCUACGACCAGACUUUUUCAAUGAGGUUGAAAAUAAUUUUGGUUCUUCAACAGAUUUUGUUAGUUUAAUGAAACAUUAACAGCAACUUAAGAUCUUAAACUUGAAUUUCCUAAUGACAACUAACUACCGCAUCUGCUCAUUCUUUCACUCCACAUACGCUUAUGAAACCUCUCUCGUGUUCUGAGGCCCAAGCUACAUACUAGGGCGUGUCACGGUUUGGAUCUGACGUGUCCCUCAGAAGCUCCUGUGUUAAGGCAGGAAUGUUUGGAGGUAAAAUGGUUGGACUGUGAGUCCAUCCCAGUCUGAAUGGGCUGACUGGGUAGUCACCGUAGGCUGGAGGUAGGUCACUGGGGUGUGCCCUGGAAGGAUGCAUCUUACCUGUGGCCCUUUCCCCUUCUCUGCUCCUUGGCCGCCAUGAGCUAAGCAGCUUUCCUCCGCCGACCCUUCCACUAUGAUGUCCUGCCUCACCUUGGGCCAGAACAUGUCCUAAACUUAUGGAACAGUGAGCCAAAACAAACUUUUUCUCCAAGUUGUUCUUGUCAGGUAUUUUGGUCCCAGUGACACAAAGCAGACUAACAGAGGGCAUAAGCAUAAGGCUGGGUUCCCUGCCUCCAAGAAAGUGUCUUCUGUAAGGCCAUUUUUCCUCUUUAUUCAACUUCUGUCAACUGUGAAGCAUUUAUGACUCUAGUCCCUUUAUCAACACUAAACACCUAUCAUAGGCUUGCAAUAGUGUUGCAAUGUUUAAGUAACAGGUGAACGCAAGCAACUGAGGAAAAAAGAGGCCAAGUCAAAGAGCAGGUUUCAAGUUUUAUCUAGAAGUCCUGGAUAAGGAAACUGGAAAGCAUUAGUGGUGAUAUCAACUGUAAACAUCUCCAAACUCAAUACCCAGAAAGCUCCCAAGCCCACUCAGACUGCACGCAGAAGCAGGUGGAGGGCAACAGGCAGUCAGCGUUUAAAAUAAGCCAGCUUUGGACGCCUUCUCAGUUACAGACACUUGGGAGUCACUAGGCUAAUAUUUUUAUUUGGAGGCAAGUUAAAAUAGUAAUCUCCCAUCUUGCUCAGUCACUCUAGAAGAAUGACUCUUAAUUCCAGGGAUAUGGGCACCUCCAACCCCAUUCCUGAGCCACCAUAUCCAGUUCCACAAAAGUACGAGACAAAUAAAUUACAACACCAAGCAGUAACGGGCCAGACUUUCCUUUCCUUUCUUCCUUUUAGGUGUUCAGUUUUUCCUUUUCUUUUUUCUUUUUCUUCCUUUGCUUUUAUUUUCUUAAAUUUAUUCCAUUACUUUUCAAAAUGCUUUCCAUUUGUUCUUGAAAUCAAACUGAUUUCCUGGCUACACAUAUACAUAUAACACUCUUGCAUUAAUCUUACUAUGAAGAAACCCUAAAUCUAUAUCAGCACAGUACAAAAAUCAUAUGGAGAAAAGCACAUUAAAAAGUGAAAAGUGGUGGGUGUGGUGGUGCACUCCUGUGAUCCCACCUACUCUGGGAGCUGAGGCAGGAUCCAAAGCUCAGGGACAACCUGGACAAUGCAGCCAGACACUGAAUCAAAAUAAAAGGAGAAGGGCUGGAGAUGGAGCUCAGUGGUAGAGCACUUGCUUAGCGUGUGGGUUCAAUCUCAAGCACCAAAAAAAAAAAAAAAAAAGUGAAAA
Molecule: long non-coding RNA, 2174 nt
Organism: Marmota monax (woodchuck)
Lineage: Eukaryota; Metazoa; Chordata; Mammalia; Rodentia; Sciuridae
Exons: 2
Source: RefSeq, a predicted model, not a curated record